Molecule: ribosomal RNA, 494 nt
Filed under: uncultured bacterium
Lineage: Bacteria
Description: partial 16S ribosomal RNA
Rfam family: Bacterial small subunit ribosomal RNA
Source: RNAcentral
AUUGAAUGCUGGUGGCAUGCUUUACACAUGCAAGUCGAACGGCAGCGGGGAGGAGCUUGCUUCUCUGCCGGCGAGUGGCGAACGGGUGAGUAAUACAUCGGAACGUGUCGAGAAGAGGGGGAUAACCACCCGAAAGGGUGGCUAAUACCGCAUAAAUUCUGAGGAAGAAAGCUGGGGACCUGGGAAUAGGCCUAGCGCUUUUUGAGCGGCCGAUGUCGGAUUAGCUAGUUGGUGAGGUAAAGGCUCACCAAGGCGAAGAUCUGUAGCGGGUCUGAGAGGAUGAUCCGCCACACUGGGACUGAGACACGGCCCAGACUCCUACGGGAGGCAGCAGUGGGGAAUUUUGGACAAUGGGGGCAACCCUGAUCCAGCCAUGCCGCGUGUAUGAAGAAGGCCUUAGGGUUGUAAAGUACUUUUGUUAGGGAAGAAAAGUCAGCUGUGAAUAAGGGCAGAUACUGACGGUACCUAAAGAAUAAGCACCGGCUAACUACGUG